CGGCAACAGCUCAAAUUUGAAAUCUGGCCCUAGGCCCGAGUUGUAAUUUGCAGAGGAUGCUUUUGGGGCGGUGCCUUCCAAGUUCCCUAGAACGGGACGCCAGAGAGGGUGAGAGCCCCGUACAGUUGGACACCAAGCCUUUGUAAAGCUCCUUCGAC
Molecule: ribosomal RNA, 158 nt
Filed under: Colletotrichum gloeosporioides
Lineage: Eukaryota; Fungi; Ascomycota; Sordariomycetes; Glomerellales; Glomerellaceae
Description: partial large subunit ribosomal RNA
Rfam family: Eukaryotic large subunit ribosomal RNA
Source: RNAcentral